Molecule: non-coding RNA, 90 nt
Organism: Enterococcus asini ATCC 700915
Lineage: Bacteria; Bacillati; Bacillota; Bacilli; Lactobacillales; Enterococcaceae
Rfam family: Enterococcus sRNA 84
About the family: Name 'Ref' stands for RNA in E. faecalis.
Source: Rfam
AACCAACAACAACCUUUUUAUUUUUCAUUUACUCCGCUCGAGAGUAAUACUCCUUUUCCACCGGACCUAACCAACCCGGUGGUUUUUUUG